CCCUUAGAUGUUCUGGGCUGCACGCGUGCUACAAUGGCGUUUCCAGCAAGUCUGCGAACCCGAGAGGGCCAGCGGAUCUUCGAAUUGGCGUCGUGAUCGGGACAGUCGAUUGCAAUUAUUUGACUCAAACGAGGAAUUCCUUGUAAUCGCGAUUCAUCAUAUCGCGCUGAAUACGUCCCUGCCCUUUGUACACACCGCCCGUCGCUCCUACCGAUUGAGCGAUCCGGCAAAUGUUUUGGAUUGGUGCCGGGGCGGCUAGCUGCCGGUCGCUACGAAAUUUUGUGAACCUUAUCGCUUAGAGGAAGGAAAAGUCGUAACA
RNAcentral lists this ribosomal RNA (319 nucleotides) under uncultured eukaryote. RNAcentral's name for it is "partial 18S ribosomal RNA". It matches the Rfam family "Eukaryotic small subunit ribosomal RNA", at positions 1470 to 1796 of the family's 1831-position model. The record is from RNAcentral.